GAGUUUGAUCGUGGCUCAGAUUGAACGCUGGCGGCAUGCCUUACACAUGCAAGUCGAACGGCAGCACGGGAGCUUGCUCCUGGUGGCGAGUGGCGAACGGGUGAGUAAUGCAUCGGAACGUAUCCUGGAGUGGGGGAUAACGUAGCGAAAGUUACGCUAAUACCGCAUAUUCUGUGAGCAGGAAAGCGGGGGACCUUCGGGCCUCGCGCUCUUGGAGCGGCCGAUGUCGGAUUAGCUAGUUGGUGAGGUAAAGGCUCACCAAGGCGACGAUCCGUAGCAGGUCUGAGAGGAUGAUCUGCCACACUGGAACUGAGACACGGUCCAGACUCCUACGGGAGGCAGCAGUGGGGAAUUUUGGACAAUGGGGCAACCCUGAUCCAGCCAUGCCGCGUGAGUGAAGAAGGCC
RNAcentral lists this ribosomal RNA (406 nucleotides) under bacterium enrichment culture clone ALO1_GLFRUDD03FOKUG. RNAcentral's name for it is "bacterial SSU rRNA". It matches the Rfam family "Bacterial small subunit ribosomal RNA", at positions 9 to 416 of the family's 1533-position model. The record is from RNAcentral.